Molecule: ribosomal RNA, 406 nt
Filed under: uncultured bacterium
Lineage: Bacteria
Description: partial 16S ribosomal RNA
Rfam family: Bacterial small subunit ribosomal RNA
Source: RNAcentral
AUUGAAAGCUGGCGGCCGGCUUAACACAUGCCAGUCGAGCGAGCGGCGGACGGGUGAGUAAUCUCUGGCAAACUGCCUGAAGGAGGGGGAUCACUACUGGAAACGGUAGCUAAUACCGUCUACCAUCAGUUGUCCCCAGAGCGGAUUAGCUAGAAGGUGGGGUAAUGGCUCAUCCAGGCGACGAUCCCUAGCUGGUCAGAGAGGAUGACCAGCGACAAGGGAACUGAGACAUGGUCCAGACUCCGACGGGAGGCAGCAUUGGGGAAUAUUGCACAAUGGGAGCGAGCCUGAUGCAGCCAUGCCGCGUGUGUGAAGAAGGCCUGCGGGUUGUAAAGCACUUGCAGCGAGGAGGCGUUGCUCGCAGAAGAAGCACCGGCUAACUCCGUGCCAGCAGCCGCGGUAAUAC